This 463-nucleotide ribosomal RNA is filed under the name uncultured bacterium. Its description in RNAcentral is "partial 16S ribosomal RNA". It matches the Rfam family "Bacterial small subunit ribosomal RNA", at positions 28 to 507 of the family's 1533-position model. The record is from RNAcentral.
GACGAACGCUGGCGGCGUGCUUAACACAUGCAAGUCGAACGGAAAGGCCCUGCUUUUGUGGGGUGCUCGAGUGGCGAACGGGUGAGUAACACGUGAGUAACCUGCCCUUGACUUUGGGAUAACUUCAGGAAACUGGGGCUAAUACCGGAUAGGAGCUCCUGCUGCAUGGUGGGGGUUGGAAAGUUUCGGCGGUUGGGGAUGGACUCGCGUCUGAUCAGCUUGUUGGUGGGGUAGUGGCUUACCAAGGCUUUGACGGAUAGCCGGCCGGAGAGGGUGACCAGCCAGAGUGGGACUGAGACACGGCCCAGACGCCUACGGGAGGCAGCAGUGGGGAAUAUUGGAGAAGGGGCGAAAGCCUGAUCCAGCAAUGCCGCGGGAGUGAUGAAGGCCUUAGGGUUGUAAAGCUCUUUGAACCGGGAUGAGAAUGACAGUACCGGGAGAAUAAGCGCCGGCUAACUCCGGG